Molecule: long non-coding RNA, 329 nt
Organism: Felis catus (domestic cat)
Lineage: Eukaryota; Metazoa; Chordata; Mammalia; Carnivora; Felidae
Exons: 3
Source: RefSeq, a predicted model, not a curated record
UAACCCUCUUCUCUCUUGUCUCCCUCACACCAGCCACGAAGGUUUUCAAAGGAAAUAUGACUCGAAAAUAUCUUAGAGUGCCAUGAAAGCUGAAGGACAAAGCUAAAAUCCACCUAAGAGCACACCAAACAGGAUCAACAAGAAUUGAAGAUGCCUGUCCUGUUUCAAAAGCAAGGGGAGGAGCCCAAGGCAGAUCUGUUAUCAUUCGUCUUUCCUCUUCAUUACAAGAAAAGAAAAAGAAAAGGAGAAAAGUUGGAAAGCGGCUCAGUAAAAGAAAGAAAGGACUGACCACCCCUUCCGAUAGCAGGAACUGAAAGUUGUCUGUUACC